Molecule: long non-coding RNA, 292 nt
Filed under: Homo sapiens (human)
Lineage: Eukaryota; Metazoa; Chordata; Mammalia; Primates; Hominidae
Description: non-protein coding lnc-ADGRA3-1:1
Source: RNAcentral
CUGGCAUCUGCUUGGCUUCUGGGGAGCCCUCGGGAAACUUACAAUCAUGGCAGAAGGUGAAGGAGAAGCAGUGUCCAUUCUCCAGUAUGGUUUUGGGGGAGUAUGGCUUCCUACCUACUGCGGACCACCUGUCAACUCUGGGCUGUAACAUGAGAGAAUUGUGAACUUCUGUCUUGUUUGAGCCAUGGUUUCAUUCUCUUUUUCAGCCAUGUAGCCUGUGCUGUAACUCAGUGCCACAUUAGCAACUAGUGAAAGUCAAUGAUCACAUUGAAAUUAUUCCCUGCCCCCUGCG